UGCCGCAUGGGCUCCAUAGAUCAGUGGGAGAAGAAAUGGGACUCGAUCGUCAGAUAGACAGAAGAGAGGAGAGAGGCAGUGCGCGUCCACAGGCCGCGCGGCUUGGGCCGGCCUGCCAAUCCAGAAGCUGGCCAACGGGCCAGGAGAGGAGAGUGGACUCGGGCGGGGAGAAGAAAGGGGAAGCGGAGCUGGGCUGGGGGCCAGGCUUGCCUGCGUGUGGGGCUGGGCCAGAGUGGCCAAGGGUCCGGUUCUCCCUUCUUUUCUUUUCUUUUUUUAAAUUCAAAACCAUUUCAAACUCAAUUUCAAAAGCAUUUAAAUACACUUUUUUUUGAAUUUUGAGUUCAAAUACACACAUCACCACAAAUAAAAUGCAGAAGCAUGAGUGCACAAGAAUGUUGGUAGGUCCUAUGAAAUUUUAUUCAAAUGGAAAAUAUAUUAUUUCUCUAUGUUUCAUGAGCACAAAAAUAAAAAAUUAAAAAAAAAUCAUCUAUUUAAAAGGAGCAAACUUUUAGGGUGUUACAAAUCUACCCCCCUUAAAAUGAAUCUCGUCCUCGAGAUUCAGAAAAGGCACGGAUUCCAAAAGAGAAAUAGGAAAAAGAUAUUGAUCACUAUUUCAACUUCACAACUGGUAUUCCAAAUGCAAACACUUAUGUCUCGGGAUCACAACUUAUGAACAAAACUUCCAUAAAAUGUCUUCUAUUCGUAUUUGUUCAAGGUCCAUCUUGACUACCAACUUUUUGACUUAUACAACUCGAUGACAUGAUAACUUAGCAUGGAUAUGCCUCCUUAGGUAGGAGUGGACCACCUUCAUACUCGAUUCUUUUCCCUGAUGGUGCGGUUAAGAAAAUUUUCCACUGGGUAGCAUAGAUCACUCCUUUGUGUGCACAUAACCAUAAGAUAGCUCAGAAGAUAGUUAUCACUUCAUGAUAGUUUAAAAUGCAUCUUCCAGUGAUAUCAAGGUACUACCCCCUUAAGACAAGGUUGGUUGGGGGACAUUAGGGACUAAUUCUCCUAUCCUUUUUAGAUGCUACACAUCAUAUAGUCAUUUAAAUUCGUUGUACAGAGUCUCUGAUCCAAGGUUAGUUUUAUCACUAAGCUCUAAUUAUCGGUACCUUUAUCAUAGUUAAGUUGCUUCACUCUCAUAUUGUAUAUAUAACUUUGCAGACUUUGGUGUCAUCUGAUUUGUAACACCCCA
This 1195-nucleotide long non-coding RNA is filed under the name Sorghum bicolor (sorghum). RNAcentral's name for it is "long non-coding RNA (SBIC_LNC006857)". Lineage: Eukaryota; Viridiplantae; Streptophyta; Magnoliopsida; Poales; Poaceae. The record is from RNAcentral.